UGCUCAUGAAACGUUUGAUGAAUUGCUUAAUGAAUGUGUGUUAGAUUGAUGGAUAACAACAAAAGGCUGCAGCAAGAGGAUAUAGGAGACAAGGAAUCUUGUUCUGCGGAGGACAUGACGAGGACGGGGAUGAGUUGAAGGCAGCGGAUUCUCCAUUGCUUUGUCCCCAUGUUGGAGGGUAAAAUGUAAUCAUUCUCUAAGUGCCUCGGAGAAUGACUCGAGGGGUACAGAAGGUGAAGUAAGUACCACACAUGCCUCCAUAGCUAUGAUAUUAAAAGAGAGUAUGCCAGUUACUGUGAGGAAUUUGCCAAGCAACUCAAGGAGUGUAAUGGUGUUGAUUUUGAGAUUUGGUAGGAGGGUGCUCAGGGAAUGAAGAGUCUCAAAUAUGUGUUGGAGGAAGUUUAUAAUCUCAAUAGGUUUCCCUCAUCCCACCCUAUGAUGAAAGAUGCACUAGAGCUUGAUGGCACCAUGAAGAUGGUGAGAGUGGAGGUGUGUUGUUUUGGUUUGUACAUAAUUUCCAACUGUAACUUAAUAUCUUCCGUUUUGGGUAUUUCCU
This is a long non-coding RNA of Lolium rigidum, 556 nucleotides long. RefSeq lists it as uncharacterized. The record is from RefSeq and is a predicted model, not a curated record. Lineage: Eukaryota; Viridiplantae; Streptophyta; Magnoliopsida; Poales; Poaceae. The transcript is spliced from 5 exons.